CUCCGUCUCUGACGCUUGUCUCCCAGUCGUGUUCGUCGUAUUCAACGAUAUCUAUGGCCCAGAGCACGUUCUGCUGUCCCUGGUUUAUAUGCUUUAAAUG
This is a long non-coding RNA of Alosa sapidissima (American shad), 100 nucleotides long. RefSeq lists it as uncharacterized. Lineage: Eukaryota; Metazoa; Chordata; Actinopteri; Clupeiformes; Clupeidae. The record is from RefSeq and is a predicted model, not a curated record. The transcript is spliced from 3 exons.